AGUGAACGCUGGCGGUAGGCCUAACACAUGCAAGUCGAACGGCAGCACAGUAAGAGCUUGCUCUUACGGGUGGCGAGUGGCGGACGGGUGAGGAAUACAUCGGAAUCUACUUUUUCGUGGGGGAUAACGUAGGGAAACUUACGCUAAUACCGCAUACGACCUACGGGUGAAAGCAGGGGAUCUUCGGACCUUUCGCGAUGGAAUGAGCCGAUGUCGGAUUAGCUAGUUGGCGGGGUAAAGGCCCACCAAGGCGACGAUCCGUAGCUGGUCUGAGAGGAUGAUCCGCCACGCUGGAACUGAGACACGGUCCCGACUCCUACGGGAGGCAGCAGUGGGGAAUAUUGGACAAUGGGCGAAAGCCUGAUACAGCCAUACCGCGUGGAUGAAGAAGGCCUUCGGGUUGGAGAGCCCUUUUGUUGGGAGAGAAAAGCAGCAGGUUAAUACCCCACUGUUCUGACGGUACCCAAAGAAUAAGCACCGGCUAACUUCGUG
This 492-nucleotide ribosomal RNA is filed under the name uncultured bacterium. Its description in RNAcentral is "partial 16S ribosomal RNA". It matches the Rfam family "Bacterial small subunit ribosomal RNA", at positions 29 to 507 of the family's 1533-position model. The record is from RNAcentral.